Molecule: ribosomal RNA, 462 nt
Filed under: Triticum aestivum (bread wheat)
Lineage: Eukaryota; Viridiplantae; Streptophyta; Magnoliopsida; Poales; Poaceae
Description: partial small subunit ribosomal RNA
Source: RNAcentral
AUGGCCGCCUUCCGCCUCCUCUUCCUCCUGCUUGCCUUCUCCGCCAGCUGCAACAGCAUUGCCGCUGCCAGCGCGAUGUACAAGGCGAGGGCCAGUGUGAUUUUCAGACAUGAUGCUCGCACCAUCGAGGUCAAAUUCGUCCUCCCCGCCAGCAACAGCCCAGUCGCCGCUGGGGACGAGGACCUGCAGCUGCGGCAGGAAGCCAUGGCGCAGGCCAUUACCGUGAUCUCUCGCCACAGGCCAGAGACCAGCGACGCCGAGAAGCUCAAGUGGGCGCUGGGGGUGGUGAACCUCGAGGCCCAGCGGUGGAAGCCCAUCUUCAGAGCCGUCAGCACGGUGCUGGAGAGCGGCGCCGACGACGGCACCAAGGAGGACGCCUUCGCCCAGGCCAAGGAGGAGCUCAACCGCGAGCUCGGCCAGGAAGGUCCCAACGACCUCAAGAUCGACUUCGGGUAUAUGUGA